This 497-nucleotide ribosomal RNA is filed under the name uncultured bacterium. RNAcentral describes it as "partial 16S ribosomal RNA". It matches the Rfam family "Bacterial small subunit ribosomal RNA", at positions 28 to 507 of the family's 1533-position model. The record is from RNAcentral.
GAUGAACGCUGGCGGCGUGCCUAAUACAUGCAAGUAGAACGCUGAAGCUUGGUGCUUGCACCGAGCGGAUGAGUUGCGAACGGGUGAGUAACGCGUAGGUAACCUGCCUCUUAGCGGGGGAUAACUAUUGGAAACGAUAGCUAAUACCGCAUAAAAGUCGAUAUCGCAUGAUAUUGAUUUGAAAGGUGCAAAUGCAUCACUAAGAGAUGGACCUGCGUUGUAUUAGCUAGUUGGUGAGGUAACGGCUCACCAAGGCGACGAUACAUAGCCGACCUGAGAGGGUGAUCGGCCACACUGGGACUGAGACACGGCCCAGACUCCUACGGGAGGCAGCAGUAGGGAAUCUUCGGCAAUGGGGGCAACCCUGACCGAGCAACGCCGCGUGAGUGAAGAAGGUUUUCGGAUCGUAAAGCUCUGUUGUAAGAGAAGAACGAGUGUGAGAGUGGAAAGUUCACACUGUGACGGCAACUUACCAGAAAGGGACGGCUAACUACGUG